Molecule: ribosomal RNA, 465 nt
Filed under: uncultured bacterium
Lineage: Bacteria
Description: partial 16S ribosomal RNA
Rfam family: Bacterial small subunit ribosomal RNA
Source: RNAcentral
GACGAACGCUGGCGGCGUGCUUAACACAUGCAAGUCGAACGAAAAGGCCCUGCUUGCAGGGUACUCGAGUGGCGAACGGGUGAGUAACACGUGGGUGAUCUGCCCUGCACUUCGGGAUAAGCCUGGGAAACUGGGUCUAAUACCGGAUAGGAGCCAUUUUUAGUGUGAUGGUUGGAAAGUUUUUUCGGUGUAGGAUGAGCUCGCGGCCUAUCAGCUUGUUGGUGGGGUAAUGGCCUACCAAGGCGGCGACGGGUAGCCGGCCUGAGAGGGUGGACGGCCACAUUGGGACUGAGAUACGGCCCAGACUCCUACGGGAGGCAGCAGUGGGGAAGAUUGCACAAUGGGCGCAAGCCUGAUGCAGCGACGCCGCGUGGGGGAUGACGGCCUUCGGGUUGUAAACUCCUUUCGCUAGGGACGAAGCUUUUUGUGACGGUACCUAGAUAAGAAGCACCGGCUAACUACGUG